AGCAUGGAGCCUAUUUAAAAAAAGAAGAAGAAGAAUCCUUGGGACAAUGGUUAUGAAAACUGAGGCACAAAGGGAUUAAAUAAUUUAUUCAAGAAUGCAUUUAGUGGUGAAGCCAAGGUUCAGAUGAAUAGAACCCCAGAGCCCAUACUUCUCUCACCACUACUACAUAAGUCACAACUACAUAAGUUGUGGUUUGCUAGACAAGGAGCUCCUGGAUGGCAACCAUCCCCAGAUGCUCCAUCUUUGCAUCUCCCAAGUACCUACUGCCAUGCAUUGCACUUUAAAGAAGCUCAGUGAAAAGAGGCAUAGACUUGGUCAGAUGUGCCCUUUUCUUUCAACAGUAGGUGGAGAUUCUAAGAGAUAUUGAAGAGCUAGAAGGAAUAGCUUGCUUGACCCAUGCAGACAAGAAGCACUAAUGUUUUCACUUGGUUUGCUCUCUAGUGGGUACCUAUUAAAAACUCAAUAUUUUAGAAGAUGCCAGAGAAGUAAAGACAUGGCCCUUGACUUCAAAGAGCGUCUUUCUACUUGGAAAGAGGAGACCUACCUCCUGAGAACAAUCAACAAAUACAAUAAAACCAUAAAUACUCUGACAUUAAAAUGCACAGUGUUCACUCCAUAUAUAUGGUUGUAUCUUAUAUAUUACGUAGUAGCCAUACUUCUUGGACAGUACAGAAAUAAGUAUGUUUUGCUUACCACUUACCCCAGGCCUAGCACACCACUGCCCCUGGCACUUAAUAAGCAAUGAUAAACACCACU
Lutra lutra (Eurasian river otter) is the source of this 756-nucleotide long non-coding RNA. RefSeq lists it as uncharacterized. The transcript is spliced from 3 exons. The record is from RefSeq and is a predicted model, not a curated record. Lineage: Eukaryota; Metazoa; Chordata; Mammalia; Carnivora; Mustelidae.